CCAAGGCGGUUUUCCAUCCCGGGUUGGAGGACUUUUCGCCCCCAAUGGGAUUGGGCCCCGGCCCCAAAUUCUUCGGGAGGCACCAGUAGGGAUCUUCCCCAAUGGGCGCAAGCCUGAUGGAGCAACCCCGCGUGAGUGAAGAAGGGUUUCGGCUCGUAAAGCUCUGUUGUUAAAGAAGAACACGUAUGAGAGUAACUGUUCAUACGUUGACGGUAUUUACCCAGAAAGUCACGGCUAACUACGUGCCAGCAGCCGCGGUAAUACGUAGGUGGCAAGCGUUAUCCGGAUUUAUUGGGCGUAAAGAGAGUGCAGGCGGUUUUCUAAGUCUGAUGUGAAAGCCUUCGGCUUAACCGGAGAAGUGCAUCGGAAACUGGAUAACUUGAGUGCAGAAGAGGGUAGUGGAACUCCAUGUGUAGCGGUGGAAUGCGUAGAUAUAUGGAAGAACACCAGUGGCGAAGGCGGCUACCUGGUCUGCAACUGACGCUGAGACUCGAAAGCAUGGGUAGCGAACAGGAUUAGAUACCCUGGUAGUCCAUGCCGUAAACGAUGAGUGCUAGGUGUUGGAGGGUUUCCGCCCUUCAGUGCCGGAGCUAACGCAUUAAGCACUCCGCCUGGGGAGUACGACCGCAAGGUUGAAACUCAAAGGAAUUGACGGGGGCCCGCACAAGCGGUGGAGCAUGUGGUUUAAUUCGAAGCUACGCGAAGAACCUUACCAGGUCUUGACAUCUUGCGCCAACCCUAGAGAUAGGGCGUUUCCUUCGGGAACGCAAUGACAGGUGGUGCAUGGUCGUCGUCAGCUCGUGUCGUGAGAUGUUGGGUUAAGUCCCGCAACGAGCGCAACCCUUGUUACUAGUUGCCAGCAUUAAGUUGG
Molecule: ribosomal RNA, 871 nt
Filed under: Limosilactobacillus fermentum
Lineage: Bacteria; Bacillati; Bacillota; Bacilli; Lactobacillales; Lactobacillaceae
Description: bacterial SSU rRNA
Rfam family: Bacterial small subunit ribosomal RNA
Source: RNAcentral